Molecule: long non-coding RNA, 184 nt
Organism: Monopterus albus (swamp eel)
Lineage: Eukaryota; Metazoa; Chordata; Actinopteri; Synbranchiformes; Synbranchidae
Exons: 3
Source: RefSeq, a predicted model, not a curated record
GCCGAGCUGGAGCUGGAGUUAUCGGAGGAGGGUGGUGGGCUCUGGGAAAUGGUGAUUAUGUUAAAACGUGUUCAGGCAGAUCUCGAAACAGGAGUAGUCAGAUGAUCAGGAGACCAUCCGCCGGUGGACUCCAAUCAAGGUGUAAAAGCAUCUCAGAGGUGAUCGAGAGAAAUGGGAGACACCC